CCCUUAGAUGUUCUGGGCUGCACGCGCGCUACACUGAUGCGUUCAACGAGUUUAUGACCUUGCCCGAUAGGGUUGGGUAAUCUUUUUAAAUCGCAUCGUGAUGGGGAUAGAUUAUUGCAAUUAUUAAUCUUCAACGAGGAGUUCCUAGUAAGCGCGCGUCAUCAGCUCGUGCUGAUUACGUCCCUGCCCUUUGUACACACCGCCCGUCACUCCUACCGAUUGAGUGAUCCGGUGAAUAAUUCGGACUGCAGCAGUGUUCAGUUCCUGAACGUUGCAGCGGAAAGUUUAGUGAACCUUAUCACUUAGAGGAAGGAGAAGUCGUAACA
RNAcentral lists this ribosomal RNA (326 nucleotides) under uncultured eukaryote. RNAcentral's name for it is "partial 18S ribosomal RNA". It matches the Rfam family "Eukaryotic small subunit ribosomal RNA", at positions 1470 to 1796 of the family's 1831-position model. The record is from RNAcentral.